CAAUGAGCAUAGCACACUUAGUAACAUAAAUGUGCUUUAAUCAGAACCCUGGAAUGUAUUACAACCUUGAAUUCUGCUCUUUCCUAAUUCAUAACAGAUUCCUCAGAAAUCCUUAUUUGAUGCAAGUGGUAAUUUUUCUCUUUGAGGGCUUCAUUGGCAAUCAUAAACCCAGCAACCUUGCUCCAUGCUGAUCCCCACAGGAUGGGCAGCUGUGGACUGCAUUUGAUCUAUCUUUUCAUUACUUUUUAGGAGCUUUUCAGUUUCCUAAAAUGUUAUAAUCUGUGAACACAUACUCUGAUUCUCCAAAGAAAACGGGUGUGGUAAAUAAAAAUGUAAUAGCAAACGUAGCA
Molecule: long non-coding RNA, 350 nt
Filed under: Bos taurus (domestic cattle)
Lineage: Eukaryota; Metazoa; Chordata; Mammalia; Artiodactyla; Bovidae
Description: long non-coding RNA NONBTAT024842
Source: RNAcentral